UCCGCCUGAGGCCGGAUACCCACUCUGGGCUCGGAUACCCGCGCUGGGCCCGGAGCAUCCUCGGCGCUGCCCUCCCAGAGCCCCGCAGAGGCUGAGGUGGCGCGGGGGCGGCCCCGGCUCCGCGAGAAGAGGCGGCAGCGAGGGCUGGAGGACCCGGGCUACGGGGCUCCGGGGCGUCUGGCCUGGGUGGGACUGAGCCCAUCCAGGGACUGGGACUCCGGGGUUCUGGUGUAGGUGGAUCCCGGGCAGGCUCAGGACCAAGACCCUCUCCUUCCACCAAGGAGCGCCCAGAGGCCGGCGGGAGCUCCAGGUUCACCUCCUCCUCCUCCAGGAAAUCCCACUUCCAGCUGGAUGUCUGGAUGAACUCCUGAAAGCUGCUGAGUGUCCUGCAGCAGGCCAUUUCCAAUCCAGAGGAAGACCUUCUAGAAGAAGUGAUGGGUGGGAGAGUGCUGACAUACUAUGCAAAGCUACUAUUUGGAGUUGGACACGAGUGCAUGUGACCUUGUGCCACAGCGGGAAUGUGAGCUGGAUGACAAAUGGAGAUUUGGACUUGUGAUAAUUGGCCUCUGUGUCAUUGUGUGGAAGACUGACUGGUCCCUUUAUUUCCUGUAGCUUGACUACCACACAAAUUAAUCCACUCAAAUGUUGGCAAGUGGAGCAGAGUCCCAGGACAGGUACAGAAACACCCCCAGUUCAAGGAUCUUCACACCUGGAUUUAGGCCUACACCUGCAACUACCCCAGGCCAGUUAUCCAGGCAGUGACUUUCUGUACAGCUACAGUCACCUCUGGACACCUGCGGAGACUUUAAAAAUUUCCAGAAGGUCAGGAAUUUUUGGAGACCUUUCUUAUGGCUACGUUGCCUGCAAAGGUGAAUCAAUAAGCUUCUGAACUGACUUAGAAAAUGUUGCAGAGACUCUUGUGAACAGAUAGACCCUCUCCUGCCACUCCAGAUAGACGUAUCCGGGUCACACACACCUGAUUUAACAACAUCUCAUUAUCUCAGGUGAGCAACAGACAGCAAUUUAGGACCUAUCCCAGUGUGGAUGAGAGAUAUUGAGUUGGCUUAGAAAAAUGUUAGAUAGACUAGAUGGGGCAAGAAAGCCCAUUCUGGGGCUCAAAAGCCUGCACAUAGAGUUGCUGGCACAUAAAGGGUAUGUAUAAAUUCUUUCUCAG
Molecule: long non-coding RNA, 1174 nt
Filed under: Homo sapiens (human)
Lineage: Eukaryota; Metazoa; Chordata; Mammalia; Primates; Hominidae
Description: HSALNT0185173
Source: RNAcentral